Molecule: microRNA, 21 nt
Filed under: Sarcophilus harrisii (Tasmanian devil)
Lineage: Eukaryota; Metazoa; Chordata; Mammalia; Dasyuromorphia; Dasyuridae
Description: Sha-Mir-12475-P27c_3p* (star (passenger))
Source: RNAcentral
CAAUGUGGCUCAGAAUGUUGU